RNAcentral lists this transfer RNA (73 nucleotides) under Mycolicibacterium neoaurum. RNAcentral describes it as "tRNA-Thr". Lineage: Bacteria; Bacillati; Actinomycetota; Actinomycetes; Mycobacteriales; Mycobacteriaceae. The record is from RNAcentral.
CCGGGGCGGAACUUCAGGUGGGUGUGGGGUUCGUGGCUCCACAGCUUCGACAGUUCGGAGGUGUUGUCCUGGC